This 359-nucleotide non-coding RNA is filed under the name Kosakonia sp. AG348. Lineage: Bacteria; Pseudomonadati; Pseudomonadota; Gammaproteobacteria; Enterobacterales; Enterobacteriaceae. The record is from RNAcentral.
GAGUCUGACAACGAAGCGUACAUCAGGAUGAUGUUGUUUCGAGGACUCACCAGGACGGUGCUGCAAGGAAAGGCUUCAGGACGAAGCAAAGGGACAUCGCUGGAAUGCGUUAACGGACACCUCCAGGAAGGAGAAUGAGAGCCGGUAAGGAUACCCGGCAGAUCAGGAAGAUCCAGGACACGCUUUACGGAUGAGGCCAAGUCACAUCGGGGUGGUGUGAGCAAGAUGCGCUGUUUAAGGAUGAACGGGUCAGGAGACCGCAGGAAAAGUUUUCAUGGAUGAGCAGGGAGCAUACGAGUAGCGGGACUGCUGCGAAACGAACCGGGAGCACUGUUUUUACAGUGCUCCCUUUUUUUAUU